UCCGUAGGUGGAUAAUUAAGUCAGAGGUGAAAUCCUGCAGCUCAACUGUAGAAUUGCCUUUGAUACUGGUUAUCUUGAGUCAUUAUGAAGUGGUUAGAAUGUGUAGUGUAGCGGUGAAAUGCAUAGAUAUUACACAGAAUACCGAUUGCGAAGACAGAUCACUAAUAAUGUACUGACACUGAGGGACGAAAGCGUGGGGAGCGAACAGGAUUAGAUACCCUGGUAGUCC
Molecule: ribosomal RNA, 229 nt
Filed under: uncultured bacterium
Lineage: Bacteria
Description: partial 16S ribosomal RNA
Rfam family: Bacterial small subunit ribosomal RNA
Source: RNAcentral